AUUGAACGCUGGCGGAAUGCUUUACACAUGCAAGUCGAACAGCAGCACGGACUUCGGUCUGGUGGCGAGUGGCGAACGGGUGAGUAAUGUAUCGGAACGUGCCCAGUCGUGGGGGAUAACGUAGUGAAAAUUACGCUAAUACCGCAUACGAUCUAUGGAUGAAAGCGGGGGAUCGCAAGACCUCGAGCGAUUGGAGCGGCCGAUAGCAGAUUAGGUAGUUGGUGGGGUAAAGGCCCACCAAGGCAACGAUCUGUAGCUGGUCUGAGAGGACGGCCAGCCCCACUGGAACUGAGACACGGUCCAGACUACUACGGGAGGCAGCAGUGGGGAAUUUUAGACAAUGGGCGAAAGCCUGAUCCAGCCAUUCCGCGUGCAGGAUGAAGGCCCUCGGGUUGUAAACUGCUUUUGUACAGAACGAAAAGGUUUCUACUAAUACUAGGAGCUCAUGACGGUACUGUAAGAAUAAGCACCGGCUAACUACGUGCCAGCCGCCGCCGUAA
RNAcentral lists this ribosomal RNA (500 nucleotides) under uncultured bacterium. Its description in RNAcentral is "partial 16S ribosomal RNA". It matches the Rfam family "Bacterial small subunit ribosomal RNA", at positions 30 to 523 of the family's 1533-position model. The record is from RNAcentral.